UACGUAGGGUGCGAGCGUUGUCCGGAAUUAUUGGGCGUAAAGAGCUCGUAGGCGGUUUGUCGCGUCGACUGUGAAAACCCGAGGCUUAACCUCGGGCCUGCAGUCGAUACGGGCAGACUAGAGUUCGGUAGGGGAGACUGGAAUUCCUGGUGUAGCGGUGAAAUGCGCAGAUAUCAGGAGGAACACCGGUGGCGAAGGCGGGUCUCUGGGCCGAUACUGACGCUGAGGAGCGAAAGCGUGGGGAGCGAAC
RNAcentral lists this ribosomal RNA (250 nucleotides) under uncultured Actinomycetes bacterium. Its description in RNAcentral is "uncultured actinobacterium partial 16S ribosomal RNA". It matches the Rfam family "Bacterial small subunit ribosomal RNA", at positions 524 to 773 of the family's 1533-position model. The record is from RNAcentral. Lineage: Bacteria; Bacillati; Actinomycetota; Actinomycetes.